CCCAGCCCCUCCUUAUCGACGAGGUGCACGCGUCGCCACCUCAGGGGAAAACCUGGGAUCUGAGGGAGGCAGAGGGAAAACUCCCAGUCCUGGCAUCCCUGCCAGCCUGGGAGCUGUUGGGAGGGUUGGAGUGACGGGCAUGGAUGGCAGGAUUUGCUUUUCUUUCCUGGAGCAAAACGCAGAUCCCAGCCUGGAGCAGAUUCCAUGGAGGAGGCGGCCAAGCCUGGGAGAAUCCCGGUGCCAGGGAGGCUGCAGCUGCUUUGGAGAGGUAAAUCCCUUCCCAAAUAACUCUGGAACAGGGUGGGAUGGGGGAUGAGGAAUUCCCACCCCCUUUUUUCUGGAACUCACUGAUUUCCCUGUGCUGGAGAACCAGAACCCCUUCCCCAACCCCCUUUGAAUUCCUCAGGAGCUGCCAAGCCCAGGAGAGAACAAUUCCAUGCUGGGAUGAUGGAGAGGCAGGAAAACUCUUCCAGUACCAUGAGUGAGGGGUGGGAAUUCACAUCCCGGAUGAGGUGGAAACCUCAAAACUCUCAAACAAAUGGAGCAGGAGGAGCUGGACCAUGUUGGGCUCGGAUUUAUCCAGCCCCGGAUCCCAGAAGGGUGGAUAACCCAAGGCUCUGGAGCAGCCCCUGACCCUGUCCACAUGAGUAAUUCCAUGGAUUUCAUCGUCUGAUGCAUCGGAAAUAACGAUCUGGGAAUCGAUAAACGCUCAUAAUUAUACCCCACAAACACAAUGAGCUCAUCCCUAAACACCAAGAAAACUCCUCCAGAACCCGCUCCAGGUUUUUCUUCUUUUCAGUCUGCUGCAGGAUUUGAGCUCCAGCAGCUGAAUGGAUGCAGCUGCAAUCAGCCUGCGGUGAAUGAUGCUCCAAAUUGCAGCUCCCGGGAUGCCGGGGGGGAGAGAGAGGAGCCGGGAGCAGAACUUUUUCGGCUUUUCGCUUCGCCAGCAGGACAAGCUGAGAAGUUUCAUCCUCUCCAAGCCUCACCCUGGAGCUGUGAAUCCUUUUCUUUGGCCAAGCUGGGAAUGCCAAGGCCGAGGGAGAUUUUGGGGAGCCUUUUCAACUUUUCCUUGGCAUUUCUUCGCUGCCAAACUCCUCCAAUCUGGACAGAAGCAGCGGAGAGCGUGAAUUAA
Molecule: long non-coding RNA, 1132 nt
Filed under: Cyanistes caeruleus (blue tit)
Lineage: Eukaryota; Metazoa; Chordata; Aves; Passeriformes; Paridae
Description: lncRNA (ENSCCEG00000007137.1)
Source: RNAcentral